CCUACAUGAAGCGGGAGUUACUAGUAAUCGCAGAUCAGAAUGCUGCGGUGAAUGCGUUCCCGGGUCUUGUACACACCGCCCGUCACACCACGGGAGUUGGAGACGCCCGAAGCCGAUUAUCUAACCUGUUGGAAGAAGUCGUCGAAGGUGGAAUCAAUAACUGGGGUGAAGUCGUAACAAGGUAGCCGUAUCGGAAGGUGCGGCUGGAUCACCUCCUUUCUAAGGAA
RNAcentral lists this ribosomal RNA (227 nucleotides) under Clostridioides difficile. RNAcentral's name for it is "partial 16S ribosomal RNA". It matches the Rfam family "Bacterial small subunit ribosomal RNA", at positions 1315 to 1533 of the family's 1533-position model. Lineage: Bacteria; Bacillati; Bacillota; Clostridia; Peptostreptococcales; Peptostreptococcaceae. The record is from RNAcentral.